Long non-coding RNA from Anopheles arabiensis, 209 nucleotides. RefSeq lists it as uncharacterized. The transcript has 3 exons. The record is from RefSeq and is a predicted model, not a curated record. Lineage: Eukaryota; Metazoa; Arthropoda; Insecta; Diptera; Culicidae.
GUCGGCACGGUUACUCGUAACAUUCUCCCCCCCGUUACGCGCCGCACUUGAUUGUCAGCAGCUCGAUACACCUUUACAAUUCGUCCCCUAGGCCAGCAGUUCCGCGGGUUGUUUCCAUCCGCAACCAAUACCAAGUCGCCUUCAUCUAAUGGUUUCGUCUGCUUGUACCAUCUCGAUCGCUUCGUUAGUGUUGGAUUUACGCACGGACG